This 253-nucleotide ribosomal RNA is filed under the name uncultured prokaryote. RNAcentral describes it as "partial 16S ribosomal RNA". It matches the Rfam family "Bacterial small subunit ribosomal RNA", at positions 524 to 775 of the family's 1533-position model. The record is from RNAcentral.
UACGGAGGAUGCAAGCGUUAUCCGGAUUUAUUGGGUUUAAAGGGUGCGCAGGUUGUUUGUAUAAGUCAGUGGUGAAAGUCUGUCGCUUAACGGUAGGAUUGCCAUUGAUACUGUUAGACUGGAAUAUGGAUGAGGUAGGCGGAAUGUGUAGUGUAGCGGUGAAAUGCAUAGAUAUUACACAGAACACCGAUUGCGAAGGCAGCUUACUAAUCCAUCAUUGACGCUGAGGCACGAAAGCGUGGGGAGUCAAACA